RNAcentral lists this long non-coding RNA (352 nucleotides) under Carica papaya (papaya). RNAcentral describes it as "long non-coding RNA (CPAP_LNC011219)". Lineage: Eukaryota; Viridiplantae; Streptophyta; Magnoliopsida; Brassicales; Caricaceae. The record is from RNAcentral.
GUAUUAAUCAAAAUAUAUGCAAGAUGAUUAUAGAUAGUGUACGUACCUUAUAUCAUGUCUGGGUUGGCUUCUGCAUCUUACUGAGUGAGGUUGUAAGGUUUGCCCUAGAUAGGAGGUCUAUCCUGAUUCUAGUUCCACGGGCACUCUCUCGCGUAAUGCUUGGCACUCCCACAUAUACGGUAAGUAUUUUUGAGGCGAUAGUAGGGUCGAUGCCCAUGAUCCUUGCUACAGUGCAUGCAAGUCUUACCGCAUCCUAUUGUCGGAAUUGGAGGAGAAGCCUAAGUCACUGACCUAGGCCUCUUGUUUUGCUGAACAGAUAGAGUGGGUACUGGUCUGCGGUGUGAAAUCGGAG